UGAACGCUGGCGGCGUGCCUACUACAUGCAAGUCGAGCGACCAGACGAGGAGCUUGCUCCUCUGACGUUAGCGGCGGACGGGUGAGUAACACGUGGAUAACCUACCUAUAAGACUGGGAUAACUUCGGGAAACCGGAGCUAAUACCGGAUAAUAUAUUGAACCGCAUGGUUCAAUAGUGAAAGACGGUUUUGCUGUCACUUAUAGAUGGAUCCGCGCCGCAUUAGCUAGUUGGUAAGGUAACGGCUUACCAAGGCAACGAUGCGUAGCCGACCUGAGAGGGUGAUCGGCCACACUGGAACUGAGACACGGUCCAGACUCCUACGGGAGGCAGCAGUAGGGAAUCUUCCGCAAUGGGCGAAAGCCUGACGGAGCAACGCCGCGUGAGUGAUGAAGGUCUUCGGAUCGUAAAACUCUGUUAUUAGGGAAGAACAAUUGUGUAAGUAACUAUGCACGUCUUGACGGUACCUAAUCAGAAAGCCACGGCUAACUACGUG
RNAcentral lists this ribosomal RNA (495 nucleotides) under uncultured bacterium. RNAcentral's name for it is "partial 16S ribosomal RNA". It matches the Rfam family "Bacterial small subunit ribosomal RNA", at positions 30 to 507 of the family's 1533-position model. The record is from RNAcentral.